This 464-nucleotide ribosomal RNA is filed under the name uncultured bacterium. Its description in RNAcentral is "partial 16S ribosomal RNA". It matches the Rfam family "Bacterial small subunit ribosomal RNA", at positions 339 to 795 of the family's 1533-position model. The record is from RNAcentral.
CUACGGGGCGCUCCAGUGGGGAAUAUUGCACAAUGGGCGCAAGCCUGAUGCAGCCACGCCGCGUGUAUGAAGAAGGCCUUCGGGUUGUAAAGUACUUUCAGCGGGGAGGAAGGGAGUAAAGUUAAUACCUUUGCUCAUUGACGUUACCCGCAGAAGAAGCACCGGCUAACUCCGUGCCAGCAGCCGCGGUAAUACGGAGGGUGCAAGCGUUAAUCGGAAUUACUGGGCGUAAAGCGCACGCAGGCGGUUUGUUAAGUCAGAUGUGAAAUCCCCGGGCUCAACCUGGGAACUGCAUCUGAUACUGGCAAGCUUGAGUCUCGUAGAGGGGGGUAGAAUUCCAGGUGUAGCGGUGAAAUGCGUAGAGAUCUGGAGGAAUACCUGUGGCGAAGGCGGCCCCCUGGACGAAGACUGACGCUCAGGUGCGAAAGCGUGGGGAGCAAACAGGAUUAGAUACCCCGGUAGUC